This 482-nucleotide long non-coding RNA is filed under the name Homo sapiens (human). RNAcentral describes it as "non-protein coding lnc-IGF2-4:2". Lineage: Eukaryota; Metazoa; Chordata; Mammalia; Primates; Hominidae. The record is from RNAcentral.
GCCGUCCAUGGGAACACCCAGCCGGCCCCACUCGCACGGGUAGAGACAGGGGCGCCCUGCUGGAGCUGAGCCUCAGCUUUGUCCCUCUCCUCCUCCACGUCAACCUGGCCAGAGGGUCUGGACGCCACAGCCAGGGCACCCCCUGCUUUGGUGGUGACUGCUAAUAUUGGCCAGGCCGGCGGAUCAUCGUCCAGGCAGUUUCGGCAGAGAGCCUUGGGCACCAGUGACUCCCCGGUCCUCUUUAUCCACUGUCCAGGAGCUGCGGGGACUGCGCAGGGACUAGAGUACAGGUAACUGGGCUCCCAUCCCUUGAGUGUGAGAGAAAAGCUGCACUUUAAGUGUUCAGGCGUGGGUGGGCCGGGAGCUUGGGGCAGCUGCCAGGAUCCUGGUUUCUGAAGGAGGGGAAGAACUUCUGCUGCUGGAGGGUGCAGGGAAGCCUCCUGAGAGCAGCCUCAACUUCAGGGAUGGGGUGUGCAGGAAAG